GAGGGAAAGGCGAAAAGAACCCCGGCGAGGGGAGUGAAAAAGAACCUGAAACCGUGUACGUACAAGCAGUAGGAGCCUCUUUAUGGGGUGACUGCGUACCUUUUGUAUAAUGGGUCAGCGACUUAUAUUCUGUAGCAAGGUUAACCGCAUAGGGGAGCCGUAGGGAAACCGAGUCUUAACUGGGCGAAUGAGUUGCAGGGUAUAGACCCGAAACCCGGUGAUCUA
RNAcentral lists this ribosomal RNA (225 nucleotides) under Proteus mirabilis. RNAcentral's name for it is "partial 23S ribosomal RNA". It matches the Rfam family "Bacterial large subunit ribosomal RNA", at positions 505 to 732 of the family's 2925-position model. The record is from RNAcentral. Lineage: Bacteria; Pseudomonadati; Pseudomonadota; Gammaproteobacteria; Enterobacterales; Morganellaceae.